This is an RNA transcript of Centruroides sculpturatus (bark scorpion), 1092 nucleotides long. RefSeq lists it as uncharacterized. Lineage: Eukaryota; Metazoa; Arthropoda; Arachnida; Scorpiones; Buthidae. The record is from RefSeq and is a predicted model, not a curated record. The transcript is spliced from 5 exons.
AUAUCUAGAAAAAUAUCUUUGAUUGAAGAUUUUAUUUUUCCAAAUCUGGAAGACAAAAGUUUUGGUCAUGCAUUAAAAUGGGAAAAUAGAAAUACGGGAACAUUCGUAAUGUUUUGGCCUCAUAAAUCGAGAAGAAAAUGGAACGAAACAGAUUUCAUUGUUUUCGCGGAAUGGGACAAAAAGAAAGGUAAUUAUAAACCAAAUAAGCAUGGAUAUUGGACUAAUGCUAAAGGAAGACUUCGUUCUGCAUUUUGUAGACUAUCAAACAAAAUAGAAUUUUUAGGCAAAGUUUCUAAUUCAAUGCCAUAUAGAAGAUAUCGUCUAAAAAAUAUUGAGGAAUUAAUCCGUUUAUCAGAUAAUACGUCACAAUUACCGACAACAAUGGUUUCGGAUUUCGAAAGUAUUUUACCAACAGAAGAACACCUCAAUCUCUCGUGUAUUAACAAUCCCCCUACUUUGAACGGGAUGAGUAAUGAAUGUAGUAAUUUAAAUAACAACGAGAAAAACAUUCAGUAUGAAUACGUUCUUCCAUAUCCACAAAUAAAGGAUGAGAAUGAUUCCGAUUAUCGCCAACAUACAGAAUACAAUUUAAAUAGUUUUACGUUAAAUUUCGAUACGGAUUAUAUCUCUUCUGAAGGUAUGUAUCGCUAUCUUAGAUUUUUCUCUUAAGAAUAUGGAAUGAUGUGGACUACAACUAUUCGUAAAGUUCGUAAUUAAUUAUUUUCUUUUGCAUUUUAAUAGACAAAUGGUUGAUGAAACUAUACAAAUGCAUGAAUUGGAAAAUUAUCAUUUUGCUUGCAAAAAUGUAAGCAAUAUAAUCAUUAUAUAAGCUAUUUUUACCUAAAAUAGUGAACAAUUUUAUAUUGCGUUAUUGAAUAUAGAAUUCAGCAUAGAAAACAACUCUCAAUCCUCAAUCAUUUAACAACAAAGACGAUUUAACAUCAUAUCAUAACGAAUACCUCAUGAUGAACACAUUAUCUUCCAUCAUCGAUCCUGAAGUUUUGCAACCUUCUGCAUCCUCCGAAUAUCUACGAGAAGAAACCAAUGAUUUAAUAUUACUUACUAAUGAAAUCUGUAAAGAUGCCAAUAAAU